GGCCAGAUCUUUCCGGUUGAUCCUGCCGGACCUGACUGCUAUCGGAUUGAUACUAAGCCAUGCGAGUCUUUGUAGCAAUACAAGGCAGACGGCUCAGUAACACGUAGUCAAUCUACCCUAUGGACGGGGAUAACCUCGGGAGACUGAGAAUAAUACCCGAUAGAUCAUUAUGCCUGGAAUGGUUUAUGGUCGAAAUGAUUUAUCGCCGUAGGAUGGGACUGCGGUCUAUCAGCUUGUUGGUGAGGUAAUGGCCCACCAAGGCUAUAACAGAUACGGGCUCUGAGAGGAGAAGCCCGGAGAUGGGUACUGAGACACGGACCCAGGCCCUAUGGGGCGCAGCAGGCGAGAAAACUUUGCAAUGUGCGAAAGCACGACAAGGUUAAUCCGAGUGUUUUCUGCUAAAGAAAUCUUUUGUCAGUCCUAAAAACACUGAUGAAUAAGGGGUGGGCAAGUUCUGGUGUCAGCCGCCGCGGUAAAACCAGCACCUCAAGUGGUCAGGGGGAUUAUUGGGCCUAAAGCAUCCGUAGCCGGCCGUGUAAGUUUUCGGUUAAA
This 552-nucleotide ribosomal RNA is filed under the name uncultured archaeon. RNAcentral describes it as "bacterial SSU rRNA". It matches the Rfam family "Archaeal small subunit ribosomal RNA", at positions 1 to 549 of the family's 1478-position model. The record is from RNAcentral.